RNAcentral lists this ribosomal RNA (245 nucleotides) under uncultured bacterium. Its description in RNAcentral is "partial 16S ribosomal RNA". It matches the Rfam family "Bacterial small subunit ribosomal RNA", at positions 91 to 334 of the family's 1533-position model. The record is from RNAcentral.
CCUAGUGGCGGACGGGUGAGUAACGCGUGAGUAACCUGCCCUUCAGAGGGGAAUAACGUUCUGAAAAGAACGCUAAUACCGCAUAACGUACAGUUACCGCAUGGUAGCAGUACCAAAGGAGCAAUCCGCUGAAAGAUGGACUCGCGUCCGAUUAGCUAGUUGGUGGGGUAAAGGCCUACCAAGGCGACGAUCGGUAGCCGGACUGAGAGGUUGAACGGCCACAUUGGGACUGAGACACGGCCCAG